This 415-nucleotide long non-coding RNA is filed under the name Nicotiana benthamiana. RNAcentral's name for it is "long non-coding RNA (NBEN_LNC002230)". Lineage: Eukaryota; Viridiplantae; Streptophyta; Magnoliopsida; Solanales; Solanaceae. The record is from RNAcentral.
ACUUCUCAAAAUAAUGUUGAGGCGGGCCCUAUGAAUAAUCAUAAUAAAGUUGAAGCAAACCUUGCCCGUAACACCAAAUAUGAUAUUUAGCAACGAAAUUAUUAGCUACGACAUAAAAUUCGUCAGUAAUUGUUUACUUUUUCUUGACAAAAAUUACAAUUCGUCUUUAAAUACAUCAAUCACAUGUUUUUAGUAAAUAAACACAAAAUUCUAUAGCAAAGUAUCGUCCACUAAAGGUUCCUACCAAAAAAUAAGUUGGCGCCAUUUAUUGAGUAAUAUUAGCCACAAAAUUGAAGUUAUCAGUGACAAAAUUAGUUUUGUAUGUACCCAAUUAGCGACGAACAUUGUUUGUUUUAAAUUAGUUAAAUUUUGGAUACGAAAAUUUUUGUCACGAAAAUUACGUAGUUACUAUAAC